Molecule: long non-coding RNA, 2813 nt
Organism: Clupea harengus (Atlantic herring)
Lineage: Eukaryota; Metazoa; Chordata; Actinopteri; Clupeiformes; Clupeidae
Source: Ensembl
UUAAACUAUUAGCGUUUCAAACAAAGACUGUUUCCUGUUGAUACACAUAAUAGUCAACCUGAUUGAACCCAUAGAUGCAUUGUAAUACAAUUCACUCACACACGCAGGAGAAACAUCUUUCCUGAUUUUAUAUUUGUGUGUUAGCACAUUCCUCCUACCCUGUCGUGCUUGCAUUACAUCUCUGAUUUUACGUACAUACAGUAUUUUAACCUGUAGCCUACAGUAUAAUAAUAUUGUUUUUUGCCUGAAAGGGGGGGAUCCUUUCUCUUCAUGAAGGUCUCCUUCUGUUCCAGCAGUGUGAUGUGGUAGCUAGUUUUCCUCAUGAAUUAAAACAUUUAGAGAUAUCUUUACAAUGAAACUGUAUUUAUGUUAAAUCCUCCUUUUUACUCCUGUUGCAUGUUGCUUUAGUCCAGCAAUGAUUUCUAAAUGUCUUUUACAUCAUCUCCCUUUAUUUUCUCUCUCCUUCCCCGUCUGUUACAGGGAAACCGUGUCACUCUAAACACAUUUGAGUCCUAACUGGUCCUGCAUCAUAGAUGCAUCACCACUGCUUCUCCUUCCCACAUGGUUUGGUGUGGACAAUUGUUUACUGAACAUUCUACCUGCAUCUUUGGUUGUAGUUACCCUUUUACAUUUUUUUUCCAUAAUUGCAUGUAUGUAUAAUUGAUCUGACACAUCUCUUCAAACCGAGGUUCAUGCUCUUGAAAACUGACUCAAUUUGCUAAAUUCUACCAUAGGAUUGGGAUGUUUCCAUCAAAACUACAUACACUUACAUUGACUUGUUAUGUUCAGGUAUAGUCACACGCUUGCACCAAAACUUGAGGGUGUUUAUCAGAGAGUGGUAUUAUCCCUGAUAAAAUGAGUCUAUGAUUUUCCACUGUAUAGAUGAAACAUCUUUGCAAUAUUAUUCAGUAGUAAUAUUUCACACUGCGAUUUGCUAGAAUUUUUACCCAACUACACAAUUACACAGUAGUUUUAUGAACUACUAGACAGUCGUAUAAAUUAACUACUUGUGUGAAAUCACUGUACUGUACAUGUAUGCAAUGUUUUCUGUAUGACACAAUUUCAUAGACUGAAGUGCAGAUAAAAAACUUUUUAAAGCAUUUUAAGCAGUCAGUGAUGUACAGUAUAUUUCUAAAUGAAUAUGUGAACAGAAUAUUUUUCAUGUUCUAAUUAUGGUUCUGUCUUUGUGUUCCAAUUUUGAGCGCAAUAAGAAAAAUAUUUAGGUGUCAUGUUUGUGUGUGUGUGUGUGUGUGUGUGUGUGUGUGUGUGUGUGUACAUGCAUGCUCUGAGAGUUUAGGUUCAGUGUCCAUGGGUGGGUAGCAGUGUAUCUCCACCCUGCCUCCCGUCCGUGUGUCCUUCCGCUGAGUUGUGAUGAGUCAGCGGAGGUGUGAGGUGUGACUCAGCAUCGGCGCUCCUCCCAUACCCAGGUGAGGGUCCCUGUGACGUCAGGUGAACAGUCACAGCAUGCUGACCAAUAUGGGAGAUAUACAAGACUGACCAAGACAGACUAUCUAUUUUCAGAUCUGUCCUUCCAUCCAGAAAGACAAAAAAGAACCUGGAUCACUCAAGUUAAAUUGAGGUUUGGUGAAAGCAUUUGAAUUUUCUUGGUGAAAUGUUGACGGGGAAGUGUGUAGCAGCUAAUAUCUGUCUCUGGUAAAUGAUGACUGGUGUUUCUUGUACAUGUACUCCUGGAAUUGUACUGUAACGUCAGUUGCCUGAGCAUUUAUUACUAGAUUUUUUAAAUGUGAAAAUCGUGUUCAUAUUGAUGGUCGGUCAGAAUGUUAGGCAGAUGUUGGCAAUAUAAAGGUCGGACUAAGUCCUUGUGGAAGACAUAGAAGAAAUGACACGGGAGGGCUCGAGGUGAUUUCUUCUUACUUCUCGCUUUCGUGUCCAAACAAUAACUUUGUAACUUUGCAUUGGUCAGUUUUCUCACGCCUGUGGAAGCGUUAAUGGUGGAUGAAAACUUAUAUGAAAUUGUUGAAAUAACUCUGGACGUUAUGGACGUCACUGCAAAACGAAAGGAAGGCCAUUAACAGUCCAUUCACUCUGUAUAAGUCUUGCCUUUGAGGGAAAUCAGCAUUCACUAUGAACGUUUGCUUCAUAGAACUUAGAUAGAGAGACGCAUAUCCAGGAGUAAAACAGCAUCACGAGCAAUGUUUUUACAAGGAAACAAACACAUUUAAAUAUAAAUAGACAUAGACAUGCUUUCAGAAGCCGAACACUAUCAGAGCACAGCAAUUCAGCACCACUAAGCAGCGGACAGCGACCAGUUUGCAAAGCUAUAUGUUAACAAUUUUCGCGCCCUCAGUUCCACAAACAGCACCUAUUAGAAUGAACAAGGUGCAUUUGAAAUAUACACUUCCCUGAAUUGUAUAGACUUCUGUGGUGACUUAAUAUACCCAGUGGUUGCUAUUAAAUCUCUCUACCGAAAUACAAACUAGGAAGCUGUUUGUUACUCUUAAAGCUGGAAGUACCUAUACGGAAGUGCAAUACAUUGUGAAGAGCUUGAACUAUUUUUAAAUGUUUUCUAUGUGUUAAAUAGUAGCAGGCAUUACAAGAGGAAGUUGAAAUAUAACGUGCUGAAUCCAUGAAAGAAAAAGACAAUGAGUAAAUUGUGUUUCCAUCAAAUGCAUAAAUAGGUUUUGGCCUCGACAAAAGGUGGAUCCAGCAAGUGCGUGCAGUUUGUUGAGUGUAGCAUAAUUUCUGUCGAUUGAGCAUAGCUAAUGAUAAAACCAUCAUAAUUCAGAGUGUAGAAUUGACUGUAAUAUAAUACAUGCAUUUGUUUGAUUUGUGUUUAACUUUAAUAAACUUUA